CACACUCAGAGGAAGGCUGAGAGGAGGCUGUGUGGGAGCCAGAGCAGAGGGGUUUUUUGUAACUUGCUUUGCAGACCAGCACAAUUUUCCAGGGGAGAUGCAAGCCUGGGAUAGUGGCUGUUGAGCUCACAGACUUGCUUUGUUUAAUUAUCAUUUGCAGACUGUUUAAUAGGGGCCUGAAGGCCCCAAAACCCACCAAGAGCGAGAGGAUGACAACCACCAAAUACCUCUGUAGGAAGAAGACAGGCAGAGAGUUUAUUCAGCUUGCCCAGCACUUCAGCCACAGGAGCCAACUCCAAGGCCAUGGAGACCAGGAAUAGACACAGUAACAGCAAAGAGUCUCUGGUGUGCCACUACUGUGAUAUGUCCAAGCUGAGAGCCGCUGGCAAGCUGAUGAGUCUCCUGAUUAGGAGCUGGUAGUGAUCAGACCAUUUACUUGACCUUAAGACACCUUAAGACCUGGAGUAUUGUUAUGCUGCCACCUCUGAAAGGUACCAAAAGUACCUGAAAACAUUUGCUCAUCUAUAACCUGACAAUUAAAUAGCUGUAACAAAGUCUGGAGGUCCCUCCUGAUUUUCCAAAUGCUUGUGUGUUUUAUCAAUCCAAUGGGAAGAACAAGGAAGCAGAGAAGGGGCUUGAAUGUCUUAACUAAACUGGUGGAAGGCAUCCCCUCAGCUCUGCUAAGCU
This 687-nucleotide long non-coding RNA is filed under the name Ficedula albicollis (Collared flycatcher). RNAcentral's name for it is "lncRNA (ENSFALG00000018078.2)". Lineage: Eukaryota; Metazoa; Chordata; Aves; Passeriformes; Muscicapidae. The record is from RNAcentral.